This 85-nucleotide small RNA is filed under the name Flavobacterium caeni. RNAcentral describes it as "Flavo-1 RNA". It matches the Rfam family "Flavo-1 RNA". Lineage: Bacteria; Pseudomonadati; Bacteroidota; Flavobacteriia; Flavobacteriales; Flavobacteriaceae. The record is from Rfam by way of RNAcentral.
ACUACGCCCGCGUUAGCGAUGGAAGUGGAAAUCCUUUAAUGAAGCGCAGCGGAAUUAAAGAUUGCAACGGACAGCGCGACCCGAG